Long non-coding RNA from Cynoglossus semilaevis (tongue sole), 972 nucleotides. RefSeq lists it as uncharacterized. The record is from RefSeq and is a predicted model, not a curated record. The transcript is spliced from 4 exons. Lineage: Eukaryota; Metazoa; Chordata; Actinopteri; Pleuronectiformes; Cynoglossidae.
CUGUUGUUGACGACCUGCAGUUCAAGCAGAGUCAUAAAUAGCUGCUACUUGGUGUGACCGUGCAGUCACGUGCAAAGAAACUGGACGGUCUUGGUUUCUAGGGAAGUAAUUCACCUUUCAUACUCAAGGUUAAUAUGUCAUUUAUUAACGUUGCAGUUUUGCAGUGGGUGAUAGUGAAGCCGUACAGUGUCGUCAGGACUGCCCUGAGCUGCGUACACCAGAGAGACCAACCGGCCGCUGUACGAGCAGCUCUUCAGGCCAGGACUCAGCUGUUUGUCUGCACCUUAAGGACAAAGGAUUGAAAUGUACAUACUGUAUUCUUGCCAGAGAGGACAGCUUUGAGAUUUGAAGGAGAAGUGAUGGAAACUAUUUAUGUCAAACUGGAGAAGCCAUCUGUCAACUCGAGGAAGCGGCUGAAGACAUCAGACCCCCCUUUAACAUUGUCCUGAUUUCACUCCCCUGAAAAGUCAACUCUUCUUCACCAAACACAACAGACGAUUGUGGAGGUGAAACCAGCACCCAUGAGACUCACACAGGACUCCUUUCACACCUGACCCAGGGGAAUGUGAUAUCCAAACAGCGGCUCAGGUCAGGUGGAACUGAAGAAGACUUUUGGAUGAAAAAGGUGAAAUGUCCUUUCCGACCACGACACGACCACGACAGUUGCAUGUCUUGUCACUGCUUCACAUCAUUGUACCUGGCUUAGCAGCCUGACAAAAUUCUCCGACGCCUCUGACUGGAAUGUAGUUACAGCCCAGACUACCAGCAGCAAUCACAACGUCAAAUGCAUCUGAGACCGAGAGGCAAAGAGUGAGAAAGGGUUAGGAUGGAGUGACGGCUACAGCUCCAAUGAUCACCGGAGGAAUCCCAAAUGUGGGGAUGAGGAAGGCUGCACAGUAACAACGCAGCUUAGCCGUGGCGGAGGACGAGGCGGAAAGCGUUCUCUGGUGGAAGUCCUGAAAUCCCAAAUCC